RNAcentral lists this ribosomal RNA (706 nucleotides) under Potamon algeriense. RNAcentral's name for it is "partial large subunit ribosomal RNA". It matches the Rfam family "Eukaryotic large subunit ribosomal RNA", at positions 645 to 965 of the family's 3401-position model. Lineage: Eukaryota; Metazoa; Arthropoda; Malacostraca; Decapoda; Potamidae. The record is from RNAcentral.
UGACCCGUCCUUGAAACACGGACCAAGGAGUCUAACAUGUGUGCGAGUCAUUGGGCGCACUAAACCCAGAGGCGUAAUGAAAGUGAAAGGGGGGCGUCCCGGGGCUUCCUUCACGGGGGCCCCGGUCGGCGCCCUCCGGGGCCGAUCCUCGACAGACCGUCGCCGCCGGUGUCUCUUCCCACACCAAAGCGGGGCCAAUACGGGAGCGCGCGCGGGGUGAGACCCUUUCCCCCGUCGUCCGACUCCCGGCCCCGUGGGUACCCGGCGAGCGCGGCAGUCCGGCGGUCCCUCCCCUCUCGGGGGGAGGAGGCCUCCGCCUGUACGCAGGGGGGCGCAGGCCCGGGACUUGCCAUUAGACGCCGUCGCGCAAAUCUGUUGUUGGCCUCGCCGGCUCUGCUUGGGCUCUCGGUUGGCGGGCCGCGCGUCAGGCGGGCUUUAGGGCGGGGGCAUCCCCGUCCGGGUCCGUCCCGCGCGGUUUUGCCUUCCGAUCCUGCUCUGUCCGGAGUGGCCUAGCGCGCGUGCUGUCGGCAAGUACCAUGAGCAGACAUGUUGGGACCCGAAAGAUGGUGAACUAUGCCUGGCCAGGAUGAAGCCAGAGGAAACUCUGGUGGAGGUCCGCAGCAAUUCUGACGUGCAAAUCGAUUGUCAGAGCUGGGUAUAGGGGCGAAAGACUAAUCGAACCAUCUAGUAGCUGGUUCCUUCCGAA